RNAcentral lists this ribosomal RNA (271 nucleotides) under uncultured bacterium. RNAcentral describes it as "partial 16S ribosomal RNA". It matches the Rfam family "Bacterial small subunit ribosomal RNA", at positions 56 to 334 of the family's 1533-position model. The record is from RNAcentral.
UGCAAGUCGAGGGAGAAAUUGUUUUUCGGAAUAAUGGAAACCGGCGCACGGGUGAGUAACGCGUACACUACCUACCUUAUACUGGGGAAUAGCCUUUGGAAACGGAGAGUAAUACCCCAUAGUCCCCGCCGCAAGGCGGGGUAAAGCUCCGGCGGUAUAAGAUGGGUGUGCGUCCCAUUAGCUUGUUGGUAAGGUAACGGCUUACCAAGGCUACGAUGGGUAGGGGGCGUGAGAGCGUGACCCCCCACACGGGUACUGAGACACGGACCCG